UUUAUGGAGAGUUUGAUCCUGGCUCAGGAUGAACGCUGGCGGCGUGCCUAAUACAUGCAAGUCGAGCGAACGGACGAGAAGCUUGCUUCUCUGAUGUUAGCGGCGGACGGGUGAGUAACACGUGGAUAACCUACCUAUAAGACUGGGAUAACUUCGGGAAACCGGAGCUAAUACCGGAUAAUAUUUUGAACCGCAUGGUUCAAAAGUGAAAGACGGUCUUGCUGUCACUUAUAGAUGGAUCCGCGCUGCAUUAGCUAGUUGGUAAGGUAACGGCUUACCAAGGCAACGAUGCAUAGCCGACCUGAGAGGGUGAUCGGCCACACUGGAACUGAGACACGGUCCAGACUCCUACGGGAGGCAGCAGUAGGGAAUCUUCCGCAAUGGGCGAAAGCCUGACGGAGCAACGCCGCGUGAGUGAUGAAGGUCUUCGGAUCGUAAAACUCUGUUAUUAGGGAAGAACAUAUGUGUAAGUAACUGUGCACAUCUUGACGGUACCUAAUCAGAAAGCCACGGCUAACUACGUGCCAGCAGCCGCGGUAAUACGUAGGUGGCAAGCGUUAUCCGGAAUUAUUGGGCGUAAAGCGCGCGUAGGCGGUUUUUUAAGUCUGAUGUGAAA
Molecule: ribosomal RNA, 616 nt
Filed under: Staphylococcus aureus
Lineage: Bacteria; Bacillati; Bacillota; Bacilli; Caryophanales; Staphylococcaceae
Description: bacterial SSU rRNA
Rfam family: Bacterial small subunit ribosomal RNA
Source: RNAcentral